AGAGCGAACGCUGGCGGCAGGCCUAACACAUGCAAGUCGAGCGCCCGUAGCAAUACGGGAGCGGCAGACGGGAUAGUAACACGUGGGAACGCGCCCUUCGGUUCGGAAUAACUCAGGGAAACUUGAGCUAAUACCGAAUACGCCCUUACGGGGAAAGAUUUAUUGCCGAAGGAACGGCCCGCGUCCGAUUAGCUAGUUGGUGAGGUAAUGGCUCACCAAGGCUACGAUCGGUAGCUGGUCUGAGAGGAUGACCAGCAUCACUGGGACUGAGACACGGCCCAGACUCCUACGGGAGGCAGCAGUGGGGAAUAUUGGACAAUGGGCGCAAGCCUGAUCCAGCCAUGCCGCGUGGAUGAUGAAGGCCUUAGGGUUGUAAAGUCCUUUUAACGGGAAGAUAAUGACGGUACCCGUAGAAUAAGCCCGGCUAACUUCGUGCCAGCAGCCG
This 445-nucleotide ribosomal RNA is filed under the name uncultured bacterium. RNAcentral's name for it is "SSU rRNA". It matches the Rfam family "Bacterial small subunit ribosomal RNA", at positions 26 to 517 of the family's 1533-position model. The record is from RNAcentral.